Drosophila navojoa is the source of this 1139-nucleotide long non-coding RNA. NCBI's taxonomy places the organism in Eukaryota, Metazoa, Arthropoda, Insecta, Diptera, Drosophilidae. The record is from RefSeq and is a predicted model, not a curated record.
CUGUAGUUCGGGAAACGGCCGUUUGGCGCUGCUGUGUGCCCAUUUCGAAGUUGACAACUUCGUGUGGAGCUCGUAGCUAACGGUAUAUGCACGAAACGGGCCGCAACGAAGCGCUCAAUUGUGGCAGCGCCCGUUUUAGGCGAAUUUUCGUGUCAGUUCACGUUCGAUAUUUGUGUUGUUUGGUCGCGGCUAACGGGGCGCACGAAAACAAAACCGAAUCGAAGCAGCGCAACGGAACGGAACGAGCGACGCGUCGCGCUUUCUCCAUUAAUGAAACAUCCGCAACAAUGGCUCCGCGCGUAUGUGAGUGUGCAGUGUGUGAGUGUGCACAUGUAGAUGAGGCGUAGGCACUUCCAGUUGUUGCACUAAACAUAAACAGCAGCAACUAUUCAAAUCUGACCACAGCAAAAACAACAACAACAGCAGCGAACGGAAGUCAACGGCAGCCGCAGCCAAGUUUAAGUGUUUGCCAAGAUUGCGAUUUAUGUGUGUGCGUGUGUGUUCGCGUGUGUUUUUUGUGUAGCAUACGUCACGGGCGCCAUCAAGUCGCAACUUGCUAAGAGACGCUGCCUACGGCCAGGCAGCCGCCAAUAAAUAAAUAAAAAUAAAAUUAAAGGAAAAAGAAAUAUAUAUAUAUAUGUAAAAGGAAAUUCGAGCUAAAUACAAAAAGCCAGCCGAAAGUUUUCAAGUUUCAAGUGCGCUGAAUUCCAUGUGUUGUGCAAGCGAAAUACAGAACUAGCCAAAAGCCGGGAUUCUUCUUCGAAACGGUACGUUUGAUGAAUAGCUGCAGGUAUAUUAAAUGCAUGCGAGGCGCCAGCUGCUCGAGAAGCCAACGUCGGAGGCGUUGAGCACGUGAGAGCCCUGAAAAAAUGUCCGCUUGCAUGACAAUUGUAGCGUGGAGGCAUUCAGACAACGCAGCAGACAGCAGCGCCGUUGAGCGCAGCGUACGUGAAGUGUGUGCCAAGAACUUGGGGCAAGCAGCAGAACAACAACAGCAACAGCAACAGCAACAAGAACAACAGACGUGGCAAGGACGCUAAGCCAUAUGCAGCGCGCAGAGCAGGAGUCUUAGCACCUGCAGCAGCUCAACGCAGACAGAAGAGCAACGCACGGAAUAGCUAAUUCGCUUCAGCUGCCAA